AAUUUAUUUUAUCAAAGACCACACUCUCAUUUUACUAGGCCAAAUUGUGGGAGUACAGCCUGUGUAGCUUUGAUCAGAAAUAAGCAACUCUUUGUGGCAAAUGCUGGUGACUCCCGCUGUGUCAUCUCAAGGAAUGGUCAGGCAUAUAAUUUGUCUAGAGACCAUAAACCAGAGCUCGAGGCAGAGAGAGAGAGAGAGAGAGGAUACGGAGUGCAGGUAGUUUCAUUCUAAUGGGGCAUGUAAAUGGAAAUCUAAACUUGUCAAGAGCUAUCGGAGACAUGAAGUUCAAACAAAAUAAGUUCUUGCCCCCCGAUAAGCAAAUCCUGACUGCGAACCCCGACAUAAACAUUGUCGAGCUAUGUGAUGUCGACGAAUUCAUUGUUUUGGCAUGCGAUGGCAUAUGGGACUGCAUGUCAAGCCAGCAGUUGGUCGAUUUCAUCCGCGAGCAUAUAGACACAGUAAGUACCAAGCAAUUUAACACUAUUUGCCCUUUUGAAAAUUGUAAGCACCAUCUUCGGAUCACCUUUGGGCUUUCUUUGGCAAUUGCUCAUGCUGAUGUUGUCCUGGCCAUAUGCUUUCUAGAAACUGAAUGAACUGAGUCCUUUUGUAUGGCUGGGCAUGUUACUGUUUGCUUUCCUUAUUGAUACUUGCAGUGAUGGUGGGUUGGCUUUUCUGUUGGAUACCUGAAUCAGGUUGUCCACAGAUCAUUCUGAAAAAGCAUUUCGAUUAAGGAUGGCAAAAAGGUGCCCAUGAAGUUGGUGCUCGAUCGGAUGGUGCUCGAUCUAAUUAUUUGUUGAAGUUCUUAUUGAGGUUAUUAAGGUUUGCCAACUUUUUAGGUAGGUGUUCCAGAGCACAGAAGGCCCUUGAGCUAAGCCAACUUUUAGGAGUCAAUAUUUCUCCAACAUGUACUUUUGCAGUAGUCAUGAGUCAUUGCUUAUAUGAAGUAAGGAGAGAAAAUUAUUGCUUCUCUUUUCUGAUGCGUGAAGUUGUAGAUGGACAUUCUACAGAGAGUUGGUGAAGCCGUGUGUCUUUCAAGUACUACAUCAAUGAUUUCUUAUUUCUUUAUGGACUUGUAGCACCUAAAAGGAACUCGUUUUUGA
Zea mays is the source of this 1100-nucleotide RNA transcript. It is a transcript of the gene named probable protein phosphatase 2C 58, with no coding region annotated. The record is from RefSeq and is a predicted model, not a curated record. NCBI's taxonomy places the organism in Eukaryota, Viridiplantae, Streptophyta, Magnoliopsida, Poales, Poaceae. The transcript is spliced from 5 exons.